Herpailurus yagouaroundi (jaguarundi) is the source of this 573-nucleotide long non-coding RNA. RefSeq lists it as uncharacterized. The record is from RefSeq and is a predicted model, not a curated record. The transcript has 3 exons. Lineage: Eukaryota; Metazoa; Chordata; Mammalia; Carnivora; Felidae.
AGCUUCAGGUUCUGUCCUUGCUCUCUGGGCAUCCAUGUACCUUCUCGUAAUUUCAUGAUGUUUGGAUGCUGCAAGGUGGGGGCUGGGGAGCAACGAUCCCGCCUGGUCUGUUCUACCGGACAUCUACAGCUUUGUACAGGGGGUGAUAGGACACGACAGCUGGCUUCAUGGCUCCAGUGUAGAUGAAAUCCUGAUUAGCAACAUCCCCUGCCCCCACCCUGGGACCUGGUUUGUAAGCAGAAGAGAAGAGGAAGAGAAGGGUGCUGGCUGCACAACAGAUAUAUCCCAGGGAUCCUGGCAUUAUAUUUCUCAUUAUAAAAUUUGCCUUCUUGCGUAAUGUGUUUCCAGAGACUUUGAUUGCUGGUAUAUCCCUCUUCUGCUCCUUCCAGAAGGUACACUUCCUCUUCAUCUGAUCAACAAAUUAAGCUUCCAAGAUGAAAGAGUUUCAGGGCCCGAACCUUGGAGAAAUCAUCAAAGCCAAGGCCACUUUGUUUCCCUGAUGACACCUCUGGUCCCUCAGCACGUCCUUCUCUUUCAGACAUUUACAGUUACAUGUGAUCACCAUUAAUAUUU